Molecule: non-coding RNA, 342 nt
Organism: Drosophila virilis
Lineage: Eukaryota; Metazoa; Arthropoda; Insecta; Diptera; Drosophilidae
Source: RefSeq, a predicted model, not a curated record
GAGCACCAUAACUCUUACGACCCCAGCAAAACCUGCCCGCAGUCUCAAGACUCAAGGAACCUAUACUACCACAUUAUGUACUCUAUAUGAGUACUCUAUGAAUAUACAUUCUAAGAGCGUCAGCGCUAGGUUCCAAAGGAAAGAAGACUAACCCAACUACAAAACGCUGCUAUCCUUAGUAAUUGCAUUGAAGUUUACUGUCCGAUCUCCAUGAAAUUAUCAGACCUAAACUAAUCCUACAUCAUUCGUUUGAUACGUCUCGUGCACUUAAAUACAGGCUGAAAACAGGAAGCUGUUGAUGAAAAAGAACUUGAUUUACAGGUGAAAUUUUUCAAAAGUGUU